GUGAAAAAAUGUCAUAGUAUAGUAAGGCGUCAAAAAAUGUGAAAAAACGUCAUAGUAUAGUAAGGUGUGAAAAAAUGUCAUAGUAUAGUAAGGUGUCAAAAAAUGUGAAAAAAUGUCAUAGUAUAGUAAGGCGUCAAAAAAUGUGAAAAAAUGUCAUAGUAUGGUAAGGUUUCAAAAAAUGUGAAAAAAUGUCAUAGUAUAGUAACGCGUCAAAAAAUGUCAUAGUAUGGUAAGGUGUCAAAAAAUGUGAAAAAAUGUCAUAGUAUAGUAAGGCGUCAAAAAAUGUCAUAGUAUAGUAAGGUGUCAAAAAAUGUGAAAAAACGUCAUAGUAUGGUAAGGUGUCAAAAAAUGUGAAAAAAUGUCAUAGUAUAGUAAGGUGUCAAAAAAUGUGAAAAAAUGUCAUAGUAUAGUAAGGUGUCAAAAAAUGUGAAAAAAUGUCAUAGUAUAGUAAGGCGUCAAAAAAUGUGAAAAAACGUCAUAGUAUAGUAAGGUGUCAAAAAAUGUCAUAGUAUAGUAAGGUGUCAAAAAAUGUGAAAAAAUGUCAUAGUAUAGUAAGGUGUCAAAAAAUGUGAAAAAAUGUCAUAGUAUAGUAAGGUGUCAAAAAAUGUGAAAAAAUGUCAUAGUAUAGUAAGGUGUCAAAAAAUGUGAAAAAAUGUCAUAGUAUAGUAAG
Molecule: long non-coding RNA, 670 nt
Organism: Lates calcarifer (barramundi perch)
Lineage: Eukaryota; Metazoa; Chordata; Actinopteri; Centropomidae
Exons: 4
Source: RefSeq, a predicted model, not a curated record